Molecule: ribosomal RNA, 254 nt
Filed under: uncultured bacterium
Lineage: Bacteria
Description: partial 16S ribosomal RNA
Rfam family: Bacterial small subunit ribosomal RNA
Source: RNAcentral
CACGUAGGGGGCGAGCGUUGUCCGGAUUUAUUGGGCGUAAAGAGCUCGUAGGCGGCUUAGUAAGUCGGGGGUGAAACCUCCAGGCUCAACCUGGAGACGCCACCCGAUACUGCUAUAGCUUGAGUCCGGUAGGGGAGCGUGGAAUUCCUGGUGUAGCGGUGAAAUGCGCAGAUAUCAGGAGGAACACCAGCGGCGAAGGCGGCGCUCUGGGCCGGUACUGACACUGAGGAGCGAAAGCGUGGGGAGCAAACAGG